AGAGUUUGAUUCUGGCUCAGGAUGAACGCCGGCGGUGUGCCUAAUACAUGCAAGUCGUACGCACUGGCCCAACUGAUUGAUGGUGCUUGCACCGGAUUGACGAUGGAUCACCAGUGAGUGGCGGACGGGUGAGUAACACGUAGGUAACCUGCCCCGGAGCGGGGGAUAACAUUUGGAAACAGAUGCUAAUACCGCAUAACAACAAAAGCCACAUGGCUUUUGUUUGAAAGAUGGCUUUGGCUAUCACUCUGGGAUGGACCUGCGGUGCAUUAGCUAGUUGGUAAGGUAACGGCUUACCAAGGCGAUGAUGCAUAGCCGAGUUGAGAGACUGAUCGGCCACAAUGGAACUGAGACACGGUCCAUACUCCUACGGGAGGCAGCAGUAGGGAAUCUUCCACAAUGGGCGCAAGCCUGAUGGAGCAACACCGCGUGAGUGAAGAAGGGUUUCGGCUCGUAAAACUCUGUUGUUGGAGAAGAACGUGCGUGAGAGUAACUGUUCACGCAGUGACGGUAUCCAACCAGAAAGUCACGGCUAACUACGUGCCAGCAGCCGCGGUAAUACGUAGGUGGCAAGCGUU
RNAcentral lists this ribosomal RNA (578 nucleotides) under uncultured bacterium. RNAcentral describes it as "bacterial SSU rRNA". It matches the Rfam family "Bacterial small subunit ribosomal RNA", at positions 8 to 542 of the family's 1533-position model. The record is from RNAcentral.